UUUUUUUUUUUUUUUGCUGAAACGGGUGCUUCAUACAAACCGUGUGUGAAUACACCCAAUAAAGUCAAAAUACAAUAUCUCUCGGAGUGCCAGUGGCAACUCCCCCUCCCCUGACCAAAGGGCGUAACCCGAAUGGUGGGCCGCAUAGGCGGCCACCCAAUCAGCCGCCCCAUUGGCCUCCCGGAAUACAUGCUUGGCCUGGAUGGCCCCCCCAUCUCUCAUCAUCCUGACUAUAUCACGGAUUAAGGGGUGGUCUGAGC
This 260-nucleotide long non-coding RNA is filed under the name Phoenix dactylifera (date palm). Its description in RNAcentral is "long non-coding RNA (PDAC_LNC022102)". Lineage: Eukaryota; Viridiplantae; Streptophyta; Magnoliopsida; Arecales; Arecaceae. The record is from RNAcentral.